This 497-nucleotide ribosomal RNA is filed under the name uncultured bacterium. RNAcentral's name for it is "partial 16S ribosomal RNA". It matches the Rfam family "Bacterial small subunit ribosomal RNA", at positions 28 to 507 of the family's 1533-position model. The record is from RNAcentral.
GAUGAACGCUGGCGGCGUGCCUAAUACAUGCAAGUCGAGCGAACAGACGAGGAGCUUGCUCCUCUGCCGUUAGCGGCGGACGGGUGAGUAACACGUGGAUAACCUACCUAUAAGACUGGGAUAACUUCGGGAAACCGGAGCCAAUACCGGAUAAUAUAUUGAACCGCAUGGUUCAAUAGUGAAAGACGGUUUUGCUGUCACUAAUAGAUGGAUCCGCGCCGCAUUAGCUAGUUGGUAAGGUAACGGCUUACCAAGGCAACGAUGCGUAGCCGACCUGAGAGGGUGAUCGGCCACACUGGAACUGAGACACGGUCCAGACUCCUACGGGAGGCAGCAGUAGGGAAUCUUCGGCAAUGGGCGAAAGCUUGACGGAGCAACGCCGCGUGAGUGAUGAAGGUCUUCGGAUCGUAAAACUCUGUUAUUAGGGAAGAACAAAAGUGUAAGAAAAUAUGCACGUCUUGACGGUACCUAAUGAGAAAGCCACGGCUAACUACGUG